This is a long non-coding RNA of Galleria mellonella (greater wax moth), 3982 nucleotides long. RefSeq lists it as uncharacterized. The record is from RefSeq and is a predicted model, not a curated record. NCBI's taxonomy places the organism in Eukaryota, Metazoa, Arthropoda, Insecta, Lepidoptera, Pyralidae. The transcript is spliced from 2 exons.
ACAGCUUGUAUUUGGGGUAAUAAAUAACUGAAUGAAGAACUUCUUUUUAAAUACAAACAGAUAUUUUCGAACAAAUGUUUGUAUUGUACAGAGAUCAAAUCCGCAACCAUCAGAAGGUGAAGCAGUGUGUUACAUUACUUCACUACCAACGUUAUCUAUCUAUAUUAUAUAUAAAUCACUACAUUAUGGACAUAAUACACUGCGGCACCUGUUCAACUCUUCAUGCGUUGCCGCUCUUGAGAACUACAGUAUUACGGCUCUUGUGUCAGAGAUUUCACUAUCUAACGUAUUAUUCAGACCGAAACACAACGCAUGCUUUGUAUAUGGUACCAAACUUAUCUAGGCGAAUCCCAUAAAACUAUAAGAAUAGUAAAAGUACCUAUUAUUACACUUCAUUACAAAUACAUACAAAAUAUUAUAUAUUACAUAUAAAUUAGAACGUCAAACAAGCUAACGUCCCACCUGAUGUAUUCGUUGUCUAUAAACACGCAUAUUGCCAUGGACAUAACACAAUAUACUGUGUCGAUAAUUAAAUCUAAUAAUCAGUCAUAUCAGUCGUGAUUAAAAUUUAACACGAGAGUAUAAUUCUAUGUACUCCAAAUUUUAUUAAAAUAAAAAGAAAACCAAAAAAUCUUUUAAAUUAAAGCAAUUAAACGAACGUAACUCAUUUUGUUAAAAAUAUUUUCACAAAAAAGUUCAGGAAAUACAUUCAAACAGUAUGAAAUUACCAGCCCAGCACUUGUACGUAAUCAUUCAACUGAAACGUAAACAGUAAGUUCAAAGCGAUAUCACUGGCAUUCAUGUUUAAUUAUAACCAGUAUGCCUUGGUGUUAUUUCUGUAGAUCAUCGAUUUUUCAGUUUCUGUUAUAAGAAACAUAAUAUAUGCUGUUAAACAACUUUUAUUGUAUUUCUCAAUCUGUAUAUAAUUAUAUAUACGCGAUAUUAUUUUACAAAUAGCCGUAGCUCUAUGGUCUAUGGCAUACAAGAUUGCUUUCAGCAAAUAAGGUUUUAGGUUCGAACCUAUUUAGAACAGAUUUUACGAAAUUGCUAAUACAUCCUCCUCCGUGCAUUUACCAAAGCCGAUUUUCCUUGACAUGUCCUUUUAUAUGGAAACUGCAAUCAUGCUAUGAGGUCACUUUACUACAAAAGCAACACCGUAAAGGCUAUAUGGAAUAUAUUUCUUCCGCCCAUAACUCUUCUCAUGUAUUGCUAUCAAAUAUUGCAAAAGACAACCUUAAUCUACUUAUUAUUAACAUAUUUAUUAUGUAGAUGCUGGUAUUUAUUACAUAUAUAAAAAUAUUAUGUAUAAUAUUAGUAAUAUUGUAAAUGUAUGAAAGAGUUUCUUUGUUUUUUACCUCUUGAUUCUUCAGAGGCUCAAUCUAUGGUCAUGAAAUUCGGUACACGUAUAUAGCAUCACAAAAUUAGAAUAGACAGAGAAGUACCCAGGCUACUUUUUAUUCUCUUCAAUCAAUAUACUUGUUACACGGAUAAAGUCGCGAAUAGAAACUAGUAUCUAAUAUUAUAUGAAAUAUUUAUAAUGAAUCUCAUCUAAUAUACUAAAUCAUACGUAGACGUAGCACAGUCCCUACAAAGAUCGUAGCGUAUAAAUUACUCACUAUGACAUCAUUUUUGUUUUUGUUGUUUCGCUAUUAUUGUUUCCUGUUUUGAAAAGUAAAGUACAUUAAUGUUUGUGACUACAGUACCGUCGUCUAAAAUUAUAGCUGAGCUGAGAAUUUGUCCUCGAUUUCGUCUGUCUAUAUUAAUAAAAUAAAUAAAUUAACUUCAGUCACUUUUUAUUCCAUUUAUUACAGAAACACUCUCUAGAUGAAAUUAUAACAAAUUGAAACACGUAAUAUAUUAAUCCAUUUUCUAUUUACAUUAUUAUAGGACAUCAGCAAACUAUCUUAUGGUCGAAUCAACUAGAACUUUUGUGUACAUUUUCAUUCAUUCCUAUUGAGACGGACUAUACUCGUACGUAAGCAAAUUAGCGUAUUUAUGUUCCAAGAAGGGCCUGACUCCUUAAAAAGGCUACUUUAAUACAUCUCUUUGCUCAUAGUUGAAAGGCGCGAACAUAAGAUAAUUGUGUGGAUACAGCCCACCCAAUCCCAUUUUAAAUAAGCCUAUACGUAACCUAUUAGAUUUUUGAAUAUGUAAUUUAGCAUUAUUUUGAUAAAAGCUUUAAAGUUAUUCGAAGAAGUAAUGUACUUGUAAACACUCUUUAAACUUACGUCACGGUUGUUUACAAUUUUAUACAUUUUAUAAACGAGAUAUUUAGGUACCGUGAUUACCCAAUUAUGUCGACCCGUGACCGUGACAGGACGCUUGUAAUUGGUAGCAGCGUCAAAAUAUCGGGAGCUCACAAAGAUAUCACGACGGUGCAGUGCAGGCAGAGUCACCCGACCGCCCGGCGAUGGUUUGUUGACGUUUUUUUGGUAUACAUUCCGACAAUCGACAACAGCUGAUCGCCACAACAAGCUCAGUGAGCGACCCUGCUGCAUUUCUAUUGGUUUAUAUUCACCCCAACUUAGUUCGUCUGUUGUUAAGGUCCCUUCACGCGUGUACUUAAUAAUAAUUUUAACCAACUUUUCUCAAUAGUUCGGUAAUAGGUUGAUUAUUUUUUUAAUGUACCUAUUUAUUUUAUUAAUAAGAAAGAGAGAAUCAUGUGGACGAUGACAAUUCUUUUUAUUUUUUUUAAGCGUUAGUUAUAUUGUACUUGUAUGUGAAACAGUUCUACUAAAUAUUCGCAAAUACGUAAUUGAUAAUGUACUUUAUAAUUAUAUAUAAUUUUAUUAUACUUAGCAAUGUUAAAACUUACUUAUCUCAUCGGAUACUAUUUUAUAAUUACUAAAUUAGAAUAGUUAUUAAUUAUUAAUAUGUAGAUACGAGUAGGUAUGGAUACCUUUUUACCUAAUACUUACAUAAACUUGUUAUAAUAUUUAUAUGUAUACAUAUUUUGAUUGUACCUAAAUCCAUUAGCAAAUUACAUUGGACAUACCAACAAAUGUUAUUAAUAUAAUUUGUUUAUAAUAUAACCAGUUGAGUGUUAAUUGUACAAUUUUAUUAAUGAAUCUAUAAACUUCUCUGGCGUUCAAUGGAAUUCACUCAUAUUUAUGUAUGAAUGUGUAUGCAAAAAAUUAAUUUAACAGGCUGUGUCAUAUUCAGGGCAAAUUUUAUUACAAUUAUUCGCCAAAUUAUCAAACAAGAUGAAUUCCUUGAUAAAUAAACUUUAUUCUUUUUCCUUUUUAAUAAACAUUUUCAUUUUAACAUAUUUUUUUAUAUCACGAAGGCGGCAAACAAGUAUACAGCCCGUCUGAUGGUAAAUGGUCAUUCGAGCAUAUGGACGCCUACAACACUAGUGGAAUCCCAAGCGCGUUGUCUACCCUGAAGAAACAUUAAUAUAUCCUUUUUGAAGAGCUCCAUAUUGUAGUCUCUAGGGAAAAUCUCGGAACUCUUUUGAAACCGCACUAUACGCAACCACUUAGGUUCAAGCGUGUUAAAAUAAAUCCCCUGUCAAUGUGAUGUUUAUAUUUUAGGAUUGUUAUUGCAUUUUUUUAUGCCAACUUUUGAUGGAUAUGUAUAAAUUUUGGAAUACCGAAUUCGCCAGAGUUCAAAUUUCGUAUUAACCUUAACGAUAUCAUACAAUGCAAUUUUUACGUGUUUCAUGAUGUAUUAUAGAUACUUAUUGAAAUAUUAAAGCAUAAAAAUUGUAUCAGGUACUUACUCCGACAUACAGAUUGGUAAACGAGAGAUUGUUACAUAAAAUAUAUUUGAAUAAAUCGACCUUCAACAAGAGAGUUUAUCAGCUGCGAUGAUCACUUGCAAGAAAGUGAAGUGAUCUAGUUUGUACUCUGCCCAUAAAAAUUUUUAUUUUAUAUCGCAAAAAUAUUAGUUGAGCUAUUAAGACUGUAUGUUAAAGAGUAACAAAUAAACAAAUCCAUUAUCGCAUUUAAAAUUUUAUACUAAUUAUAUUAUUUAUAUUCUA